Molecule: ribosomal RNA, 598 nt
Filed under: Melampsora magnusiana
Lineage: Eukaryota; Fungi; Basidiomycota; Pucciniomycetes; Pucciniales; Melampsoraceae
Description: partial 28S large subunit ribosomal RNA
Rfam family: Eukaryotic large subunit ribosomal RNA
Source: RNAcentral
ACUAUGAUUCCCUUAGUAACGGCGAGUGAACAGGGAGAAGCCCAAAUUUGUAAUCUGGCACUUUUUACAAGUGUCCGAGUUGUAAUUUGUAGAACUGUUAUCCGUGCUGGACCAUGUACAAGUCUGUUGAAAAGCAGCAUCGUUGAAGGUGAAAAUCCUGUAGAUGAUAUGGACUACCAGUACUCUUGUGAUACGGUUUCUAAGAGUCGAGUUGUUUGGGAAUGCAGCUCAAAGUGGGUGGUAAAUUCCAUCUAAGGCUAAAUAUAAGUGAGAGACCGAUAGCAAACAAGUACCGUGAGGGAAAGAUGAAAAGAACUUUGAAAAUAGAGUUAACAGUACGUGAAAUUGCUGAAAGGUAAACGUUUGAAGUUAGUUUUGUAUUCGUUGGAUCAGCUUCGCAAGGAGUGUAUUCUGAUGAUAAGCAAGUCAACAUCAGUCUAUGAGUGUUGGAGAAGGGUUUUGAGAAUGUAGCAAUUUAAUUGUGUUAUAGCUUGAGACUUGGAUACAAUGCUUUGGAUUGAGGAACGCGUAGUAAGCUUUGAGCGGAUUCGAAAGGAUCUCCUUACUAUGGAUGUUGGUGAAAUAACUUUAAGCGACC